This is a non-coding RNA of Paramuricea clavata, 1523 nucleotides long. The record is from the annotation of a GenBank genome assembly. Lineage: Eukaryota; Metazoa; Cnidaria; Anthozoa; Malacalcyonacea; Plexauridae.
GGAUUGAGGAGGGUUAUCCAAAUAUUGAAUUCUUAACCCCUCUUCUGUUCCCUAGACCUCUUUCUUCUUCCCCGAAAGUACUUUUACGAAGAACGAAGAAGUUUAUAUACGAUGGCUUCCAGCGAGGGCAAGCCUCGUCAGGGGCUGUAGUUCCAUCAACAUAUACCGCUGCAGAAUGUUCAGGAUGUUGUACUAGAUGUUGUAACAGGAUUUUAUACAGGAACAAUAAUGUUCAGAAUAUUGCACUCUAUUUAUACUAAAUACUGAGCAGCUGACAAGGUUCAAUACUUCGAUUCCCAGGUUCUGUGUGUUCUGGGCAGAUUUAAAGUUUUUUGUUGAAGCCGCCUUCUGAAGCGAUGGAAUAUAUUCACAGCCAGUUCGCAGUCGAGUUGCAGCUUUGAGAACAGAAUUCUAUCACAUACACGAGAGAUAUGCCAUACUCAUUUUACACGGCGCGAGGCAGUUUAAUACCAACUUCUUGGACUAUUAUAAAUAUAAUAACAAAGAAAACGUACAAUACGAACGUGUUUGGUAACUCUGACAAGUGACAACAAAAAUUACUGCUCCAACACAGCGACUUUACACUCAAUUACUCAUAUUAACCAGGGCGCUAUAAAGCUUCGACGUGCUCAGUAAACAUAUAAAAUUAUAUGGCUCCUAAUUUGAAUAAUAACAUGAAAAUCAUCUCUGUAUGUUUAUAGGUUACUUUAUAAUAGGUAUGUAUACCUUUAUUUAUAUAUGUAGGGCAUUUUGUAGAUGGAAGUUUCGAGUGGAAUUUUUAUACAUUUAUAACAGACCUACGGCUACGAAAAAUGUAACUAUCAUCCCACAUUCCCACUGCCGUUCUGGCUACAGCGUUGUAUGACUUAUGACUGAAAUUUAAUGAAAUACUCCUAAAACAGUAUUAAUUAUACUACUCUAGGAGGAGUUAUACUUAUAUACUGAAAAACUAGAUAAUAUUUAUAGUUAUUUACAAGAAAGACUUCAUAAUCACUGUAUGACACAUAUAUUUAGGCGGUAAUUAGAAUGAUGUUGUUUAUAUAUGCUAUUAUUAACAACGGCAAAACGACAAUAACAACAACAACACUAAGACUACAAAACGAACAUACAGCUAUAUGUAAGAGUUAUAAACCGAGUAGGAGGUUUAUAACUGAUAUAUUGACCCGAGGACGCGUAGCGUCCGAGGGGCAAUAUAUCAGUUAUAAACCGACUUACUCGGUUUAUAACUAACUUAUAUCACACUUGCGGAGGUUUUCCAACAUAUUUUGUCAUUUUCAAAAAUUUUUGAUGAAAAAUUCUCGCGUUUUGUCUACAAGUUUAAUCCAAUCAUUUAUUCAAGGUCUAUAAGCUAGUUAUAAACCUCGGACGAACAAAGAAAACCGACGCAAGUGUGAUAUAUUAAAGUACAAUACAAACGAUUCAAAACGAUAGACUAAUUAGCUACAUUAAGUGACUUAAUAAUUGAAGGCAUGGCAAGUGUUUUGAAACUUGGGUCGUGAUUGGCAAAGAUUGUUAAAUGGGAU